GAGAGAGGAAACUGUAGGGGGUUUU
RNAcentral lists this non-coding RNA (25 nucleotides) under Cricetulus griseus (Chinese hamster). Lineage: Eukaryota; Metazoa; Chordata; Mammalia; Rodentia; Cricetidae. The record is from RNAcentral.